CACCUCUAGCAUUAUCAGUAUUAGAGGCAAUGCCUGCCCAGUGACAUUAGUUAAACGGCCGCGGUAUCCUGACCGUGCAAAGGUAGCAUAAUCAUUUGUUCCUUAAUUAGGGACUUGUAUGAAUGGCCCCACGAGGGUUUGACUGUCUCUUACUUUUAAUCAGUGAAAUUGACCUUCCCGUGAAGAGGCGGGAAUACAUAAAUAAGACGAGAAGACCCUAUGGAGCUUAAAUUAAUUUGUUCAAUCAAAAUUCAAUUUUUAUCCAACAGGAAUAAUAACAUUUUAACUGAACAACAAAUUUUGGUUGGGGUGACCUCGGAGUACAAAAGAACCUCCGAGCGAUUAAACUAAGACAUACUAGUCAAGGCCAUAUAACUCAUUGAUCCAAUCAUAUUGAUCAACGGAACAAGUUACCCUAGGGAUAACAGCGCAAUCCUAUUUGAGAGUUCAUAUCGACAAUAGGGUUUACGACCUCGAUGUUGGAUCAGGACACCCAAAUGGUGCAGCAGCUAUUAAAGGUUCGUUUGUUCAACG
This 534-nucleotide ribosomal RNA is filed under the name Crocidura nimbae. Its description in RNAcentral is "partial 16S ribosomal RNA". It matches the Rfam family "Bacterial large subunit ribosomal RNA", at positions 1816 to 2586 of the family's 2925-position model. Lineage: Eukaryota; Metazoa; Chordata; Mammalia; Eulipotyphla; Soricidae. The record is from RNAcentral.